GGCCUCGUACCUCAGCUGCUAGAGCGUGCGCGUACGAAGCAUAGGUGGCGUCCAUUCGUAGGUUCGAAUCCCACCGAGGCUA
This 82-nucleotide transfer RNA is filed under the name Echinostoma caproni. It matches the Rfam family "tRNA". Rfam says of the family: Transfer RNA (tRNA) molecules are approximately 80 nucleotides in length. The record is from Rfam by way of RNAcentral. Lineage: Eukaryota; Metazoa; Platyhelminthes; Trematoda; Plagiorchiida; Echinostomatidae.